UACGCCUGCGUGGUUCCGCGCUGUCCCGUCUGGGGCUGCGUGGACCCCGCCCAGCUCCUUUUGCGGCUGCGCAAUCGAGCUUUCGUGAGCUGCCCUGGCUCUAGUUGUUUUUUUUUCUGGGUUAUGUGUUGUUGGACACCCCAGUCUUCCCAGGGCUUCCCAACUUGAACACCUGUGAGCUCCACAUACCGGCUGCCUCAGUUCAAAGGGAGAUUGAAUUCAAAUACUCAUCCUCUACUGAGGCGGGGCAAAUGCUUUAGGAUAUGACAUUUAAGUAAAUCCAGGGCCCCUGUCAAAUUCCUUGAAAACGCAACAGGCAGAAUUGAAAAGUGACCUUUCAACAGGUGUUUUUUGAGGACCUUUGUAUAUCAAGCCCUGUUCUAAACAAUAGAGAUACAUAACCGGAAGGAAACGGCAAACUGACCCUAGUGGGAGGAAGAGAGGGACAAGCAGCAAACCAGAAAGUGGCGUUGAAGGGCUGUGGUGGCUCUGGCUGCCUUUUGGAAACGGACAUUGAGGGGUGGAUCAUGUGCGGAACAGGAAAUGCCGCUGGUGAGUAAAAAGGAGCAACCUGGGUGGAAUAAACCAGAGCGUCAUGGAAGCCGAGUGAAGAGAAGGUUGUCAAGGCAGAGUUAGAGAGAACAAAGAGAAGGACAGACAGCAAGGUCUUCCAUCUGCUGUUUCACUCCCCAAAUGACUGCAAUGGCUGGAGCUGGGCCAAUCCAAAGCCAGGAGCUGCUACAGGUCUCCUACGUGGAUUCAGGGGUCUAGGGACUUGAACCGUCCUCACUACUUUCUCAAGCCAUAAGCAAGGAUCAGGAUCAGGAGUGGAGCAGCCAGGACUCAAACCAGCGCCCAAAUGGGAUGCCAUUGCCUCAGAUCCUGAGCACACAGCAGGGAGCAAAGCAGAACCAACUCUGCUCAGAUUUUGGAAAAUAAAUCAAGUUGGAGAAACAAAACAUUCAGUGUGGUUGGUGGUAAUAUGUGCCAAGGAGGAAAGGCAGACAAAAAGGUACAUGGGAGUCCUCAAGGGAGGAGAGAGAAAUUGCUGAGCAACAUCUCAGGAAAGCUCAUUUAGAGAAAUGCAAAGGCUCUGGUGCUGAAAUACACCUGCCUGGUGAGUGCAUGUGGUACUGAGGCAGGGAAGCUGGGGUGGAGUGAGGCUGGGGAGAGCAAAAGAGACAAAAGCAGAAAGGUAACAGGGGCUAACCUGGGGUGACCACAAGCUUUGUUGUUUACUCAGUGAGACAGAAGCUUCUAAAAGUUCUGGAGAAGAACAGUAGCAGGAAGUAACUCUUAUUUUAUUGGGUCGCUCUGUUACGUGGCCCACAGAGGGUGGUGGGCAGGGAAAGAGGACAUGGAGAGAUGUAGUGAAGGCGUUUGAGA
Molecule: long non-coding RNA, 1386 nt
Organism: Ochotona princeps (American pika)
Lineage: Eukaryota; Metazoa; Chordata; Mammalia; Lagomorpha; Ochotonidae
Exons: 3
Source: RefSeq, a predicted model, not a curated record